UCCGUGUACUGCGGAGACAUUAAGAUUCUGGGCCCUUACCUGCCCAUUCUAUUCAGCUGUGCGCUUCGGCUGCACGCUGGAUGCAACACCUCACACCUGUGCACCAUUUCGGUUGCGGCUUUGGCCGCUGCCGCUUCAAAUGCAACCACUCAGUCUCGAAUGUCAACAAAACUAUAAAAAGUAACAACUUUCAACAACGGAUCUCUUGGCUCUCGCAUCGAUGAAGAACGCAGCGAAAUGCGAUAAGUAAUGUGAAUUGCAGAAUUCAGUGAAUCAUCGAAUCUUUGAACGCAUCUUGCGCUCCUUGGUAUUCCAUGGAGCAUGCCUGUUUGAGUGUCACGUAAACCCUCACCCUUGCGAUGUAACAGUUGCACUGCGGUGGACUUGGACUGUGCCGUAACCGGCUCGUCUUGAAAUGCAUUAGCUGGCGCUUUUAGAGUGCUGGGCGACGGUGUGAUAAUUAUCUGCGCCAAUGCCCUGGGCCUCUUCAGCGGUGCUGCUUACAGUCGUCCCUCUGAGGACAACUAAUAUCUAAAGCUUUGGCCUCAAAUCAGGUAGGACUACCCGCUGAACUUAAGCAUAUCAA
RNAcentral lists this ribosomal RNA (586 nucleotides) under Auricularia fuscosuccinea. RNAcentral's name for it is "eukaryotic LSU rRNA". The stretch from base 186 to 339 matches the Rfam family "5.8S ribosomal RNA". Lineage: Eukaryota; Fungi; Basidiomycota; Agaricomycetes; Auriculariales; Auriculariaceae. The record is from RNAcentral.